CCCUUGACAUGUCUGGAAUCCUGAAGAGAUUUGGGAGUGCUCGAAAGAGAGCCAGAACACAGGUGCUGCAUGGCCGUCGUCAGCUCGUGUCGUGAGAUGUUGGGUUAAGUCCCGCAACGAGCGCAACCCUUGUCAUUAGUUGCUACGAAAGGGCACUCUAAUGAGACUGCCGGUGACAAACCGGAGGAAGGUGGGGAUGACGUCAGGUCAUCAUGGCCCUUAUGGGUAGGGCUACACACGUCAUACAAUGGCCGGGACAGAGGGCUGCCAACCCGCGAGGGGGAGCUAAUCCCAGAAACCCGGUCGUAGUCCGGAUCGUAGUCUGCAACUCGACUGCGUGAAGUCGGAAUCGCUAGUAAUCGCGGAUCAGCUUGCCGCGGUGAAUACGUUCCCGGGUCUUGUACACACCGCCCGUCACACCAUGGGAGCGGGUUCUGCCAGAAGUAGUUAGCCUAACCGCAAGGGGGGCGA
RNAcentral lists this ribosomal RNA (471 nucleotides) under uncultured Roseateles sp. RNAcentral's name for it is "bacterial SSU rRNA". It matches the Rfam family "Bacterial small subunit ribosomal RNA", at positions 978 to 1453 of the family's 1533-position model. Lineage: Bacteria; Pseudomonadati; Pseudomonadota; Betaproteobacteria; Burkholderiales; Sphaerotilaceae. The record is from RNAcentral.